UUUUUGUUGGAGAUAGCCAAGCCUCUUCAACAUGAGCUACUUGGUUAUUCCCCGACGUUAGAUUUGCCUCCUCAGACACAGCAAUAAUAGAACCUCCAUCUUCCUCAACAUCCUUGAUCAGACACAAUCUUUGCUUGCUCUUCUUCACCAGAAGCCCCAAGAGAAGGAACUAGAUCAGGAACACUUUCUUUCUCAUUCUUAUCUUCCUCAAUAUGAACCUCAACUCUCUGCUGAGCCACGCAUACUUUCUCCGAGUGACCCUAUUUCCCACACACCGUACAUCUUAGCGGGAGCCAUGGAUAAAUGAACUCCACCAAAUGCUCCUUGCCAUCUUUUGUGAAAUUUAUCUUCUUAGGAAGAUCUUUAGAGACAUCCACUUUAACAAAGAUUUUUGCUAUGUCAACAUUUGUGCAAGCCAAGGUCUCAGGGUACAAACGGACUGGAAACCCUGCUGCACUCGAGAUAAAGCUCAAACCCUCCCAAGAGUACAUACUCAAGGGUACCUUCUUCAGAUAAACCCACA
Molecule: long non-coding RNA, 523 nt
Filed under: Brassica napus (rape)
Lineage: Eukaryota; Viridiplantae; Streptophyta; Magnoliopsida; Brassicales; Brassicaceae
Description: long non-coding RNA (BNAP_LNC018238)
Source: RNAcentral